This 492-nucleotide ribosomal RNA is filed under the name uncultured bacterium. RNAcentral describes it as "partial 16S ribosomal RNA". It matches the Rfam family "Bacterial small subunit ribosomal RNA", at positions 29 to 507 of the family's 1533-position model. The record is from RNAcentral.
AGUGAACGCUGGCGGUAGGCCUAACACAUGCAAGUCGAACGGCAGCACAGUAAGAGUUUGCUCUUACGGGUGGCGAGUGGCGGACGGGUGAGGAAUACAUCGGAAUCUACUUUUUCGUGGGGGAUAACGUAGGGAAACUUACGAUAAUACCGCAUACGACCUACGGGUGAAAGCAGGGGAUCUUCGGACCUUGCGCGAUUGAAUUAGCCGAUGUCGGAUUAGCUAGUUGGCGGGGUAAAGGCCCACCAAGGCGACGAUCCGUAGCUGGUCUGAGAGGAGGAUCGGCCACACUGGAACUGGGACACGGUCCAGAGUCCUACGGGAGGCAGCAGUGGGGAAUGUUGGGCAAUGGGCGCAAGCCUGAUCCAGCCAUACCGCGUGGGUGAAGAAGGCCUUCGGGUUGUAAAGCCCUUUUGUUGGGAAAGAAAAGCAGCAGGUUAAUACCCAGCUGUUCUGACGGUACCCAAAGAAUAAGCACCGGCUAACUUCGUG